Molecule: long non-coding RNA, 20673 nt
Filed under: Solanum tuberosum (potato)
Lineage: Eukaryota; Viridiplantae; Streptophyta; Magnoliopsida; Solanales; Solanaceae
Description: long non-coding RNA (STUB_LNC005389)
Source: RNAcentral
CCUCUUGGAGUGCGUGAACUCUUUGUAAAAGCAAUCAUCUGAAAUUGUAGAAAGUACUUGGCAGCAUUGUGUGGAUAAUGAAAUUUUACGCUUGAAAACGGAAGUGAUCAAAUUGAAUGCACAACCGUCCACCUUGAUGCAAGAAGUGGUUGGAGCCGAGGCUGGGCCCCAAGAGGGAGCCAUGUGCGAUGGAGAAACGACAUCAUCAACCGGGGAUGGGGAUAGGGAUGGAACCGCAUUAUCAACUAGAGAUGGAGAUGGAGCCGCAUGAGUAGGUGAAGCCACAUGAGUUGGUGAAGAUGGAGAUGGAGACACAUGAGUUGGUGAAGCCGCAUUAUCAAUUAGAGAUGGAGAUGUAGCCGCAUUAUCAACCGCAUGACUACAAAAGUUUCUCACUUUUCCAAGGAAAAAUGGUACCCUCUUUGAGUGCGUGUACUCUUUGUAAAAGCAAUCAUCUGAAAUUGUUGAAAGUACUUGGCAGCAUUGUGUGGAUAAUGAAAUUCUACGCUUGAAAACGGAAGUGAUCAAAUCUAAUGCACAACCGUCCAACUUAAUGCAAGAAGUGGUUGGAGCCGUGUGUGGUGGCGAAAUCACAUCAUCAGCUGGGGAUGGAACCAACAUCAUCAACCGGGGAUGGGGAUUGGGAUGGAACCACAUGAGUUGGUGAAGCCACAUUAUCAACUGGAGAUGGAGAUGGAGCCGCAUUAUCAACUGGAGAUGGAGCCGCAUGAGUUGGUGAAGCCGCAUCAUCAACUGGAGAUGGAGAUGGAGACACAUGAGUUGGUGAAGCGGCAUUAUCAACGGGAGAUGGAGAUGGAGCCGCAUGAUCAACCGCAUGUCUGCAAUAGUUUCUCACUUUUCCAAGGAAAAAUGGUACCGUAUUUAAGUGCGUGUACUCUCUGUAAAAGCAAUCAUCUGAAAUUGUUGAAAGUCCUUGACAACAUUGAGUGGAUAAUGAAAUUCUACGCUUGAAAACGGAAGUGAUCAAAUCUAAUGCACAACCAUCCACCUUGAUGCAAGAAGUAGUUGGAGCUGUGUGUGGUGGUGAAACCACAUCAUCAACUGGGGAUGGAGCCAUAUGCAUUGGUGAAGCAGCAUUAUCAAUCGGACAUGGAGAUGGAGUUGGUGGUGAUGGUAUUUUUGGGUGAGUACGCCACCACCAUCGAGGCCACAAUCCAAUUGAAGAAGUACCAAACGAUUCUGUUUGGGUUCCGUUGCAGUGGCAGUAGCAAUGCCUAUGCAACCCAACAGCAGAAACAGACAUAACAAUGUGGCACUUCUCAACGACAACGACAUGUUUCAGAAGAAAGAAUGAGUAAUUAAUUAGCUGAGAAUUACAGGCGAUACUUCCAAAUCCUUUAAAAUUGUUUGAAUAAUUAAUUAGGUGCAAAAGGAGUUAAUAUAUAUAGGCAAAGAAUUUAGGCGAUACUUCCCAAUCCCUUUAUACUUCAAAUAUCUAAUUCUAUCCAAAUUUGGAUUUCUGUUUAUGUACAAACGCCAAAUACAAUUUAAGCGAUACUUAAUCCCAAUCCAUUUAUAAUUCAAAUAUCUACUUCUAUCCAAAUUAGGAUUUCUAUAUAUGUCACGUCCAAUUUUAAUAAAAAAUUAUAGUUCAAGAUUGUGUUGCAAUCAAACUAUGACUCCUUCUCCUCAAAAGUUAAGUGAUAUUGAAGCCCCAUAGUUGAAAAUUGGUUUACCAAAUGAAGAUGACUGAGAAUUACAAUAAACUAAGGAACUGAACAUUUCACAUUUUACCUAGCAUUUAUCUUGAAGUACAAAGACUUGCAUAUCAUUAUAAUAAUUAUUUAUGAUAUAAAAUCCAGAAAACAAUUAGAAAAAAAGUGAAAGAUGUUGUUAUCACAGACCAUUUCCCUCCAAAAACAUUGAUCUCUUCGCCACGUAGCUUGGGGAUCUCAGCCAUGUCUAAUAAGAUAUCAUAAAGAUAAGAUCCAUCAGCCGUUUCGCUUUCUCUGUAAGUUUCUAUUUUUGUUUCUUGACCUUACAACAUCAUAAGUCUACGUAAACUUUACCCCUACCUCGACUAUAAGCUCUCUUUCACCCAUAAAUGCUUUGUUUUCCCUUUCCAUGGUUACCGAGUAAUUCAUCAUCACAUAAAUCAGCCUACAAGUCACUAAAAUAUCAACUUCUAUCCAAAUUUGGAUUUCUAUAUAUGUUGUCACGUCCACUUUUAAUAAAUUUAAAAUUCAAGACUUUGUUGCAAUCAAACUAUGAUUCCUUCUAAUCAAAGCUUAGUUGACACUAAAAACAUAUGAGCAAGAAGAAAUUUGGGAGUUCUUAAUUUUAUUCAUGUGUUCUUGAGGAAGAAGAAGCAAGAAGAGUGCAUUUGAUUCAAAACCCCAAUUGAAAAGUACUCUUAAAAGUUGUUUGGGGUCUUGUUGAGAUAAAAAAUGGUUUUGCAAAAUCAAAGUUUUAAAAUAAUGGCAUAGAUAGAUGUUAGUCAAACGGCAAUGCAAUAUAUGAGUCAAACUUUUAACAGAUAGCAUGAAUGAUCAUUUUCUCAAAGUUUGAUGACAUAUUUGAGUCUUUUCCCAUGAUUAUAAUGUCUUAUACGGAUUAUCACACAGAGAAUAUUGUUCAACUUUAGUAUAAAAAAAGGAAGAUAAUUCAUAUAAUCAUAUUCAUAAUAAAUAUAAAAAAAUAAUAGUUAUUGGCAAACUUCAUUAGUUCGCGCAAAAAAAAUUACUAAUUCGCGCAAAAAAAGAUGUAUGGAAUUACGAAUUACUUAUCAUGUCUUAAGACACAUAUUUGAUUCCCGCAAAGACACGUUUUAACCAUUUUGCUUCAAUUAGAGAUGGUUUAUUCAAUACACAAUUCUUCUCUUCACGAUCUAGCGGUAUUCAAAUAUCUAAUUAAACUAAAAAGGUUUACACAAAACAAUAGAUCUAGUUUAGAUUUUUAAGUUUAGAUAAGUUAUCAAAUGGUCAUUUAGAAUUAAGAUAUCAAAUCAUUAUUCGAGUUUCUUAUUGUUUUUUUCUUUCAUUCUUUGGUGUAAAGAAAAUAUUUAAAACUAUUUUUUUUUUGCAGCUAUAUUGUAAUUUAGUUUUUGUAUUUGUAAAAAUAAAAAAAAUGGGGAUAUAUAAUAAAUUUUACAAGAAAAUUAGUGAAAUAAAUAAAUUUGACCAUCAAAAUAAUAAAUUUAAAUAAGUCGUCGAAAUAAAAAAGUCAAAAAAAAAAUAUACCUCAUAUAUGGAUUAUAUUUUUUCAAAAAAAUUAAAUUAAAAAAAAAUUGUUUGGUAGGCGUAGGUCUAAAUAUCAGUCAAUAUUAGGAAAUUGUGCUACUUCACUGCCUGCUUUGCUUCUGCUGCUGCUGCCUAUCUUCACAGAAAAAUCACUUUCUGCUUUGCUCUUCUUCUUCACUUGACAGAAAAACAUCCGCAGCGAUGUUUCCGUUUGUUUCUUUUCGGGAUUGGAUUCAUCAGGCGAUUCACAUAAUUCUUCUCAUGGUAUGAUUUCGUCUUCACUCCAACUUGUACAACAACUGAUUCCGAAAUUCCAAAUGAAAUCAUAACAGACAUACUCUUAAGGCUGCCCCCCAAAUCUCUCUUGAAAUGUAUGUCUGUUUCUAAAUCAUGGCAUCAACUCAUAUCCAGCCCUGAUUUCGUGAAUACACAUCUCAAAUUAAACUCAAUUCAUAGAGUUCUGUUUCCAGGCAUCAAUGGAAAUUUCAACUUUAGUUCUCUCCUCCCUUCCACUGUUCAAAUGGGUUCCAUCGCUUUAAUAUCUUCCGUUGUGGGUACUGCCAAUGGGCUAAUUUGUCUGUACAAUUACAAAGGGGAGAUAUAUAUAUAUAUGGAACCCCACCAUUAGCAAGUCAAAGAAACUACUUAAUUUGCCGUGGGGUUCCUCUUUCUAUAUGAAAUAUGGUUUUGGAUAUGAUGAAUCACGUGAUGAUUACAAAGCUCUGUUUAUUGAUGAUGAAUCCGACCUGAGUUAUGUGGUCAACAUUUAUAGUUUGAGGACGGAUUCUUGGAAAACACUCCAUGACCAGCUUAAGGGCGUCUUUCUAAUAAAUCUUCCGGCUAAAUUUGUCAACGGGAAGCUUUAUUGGACUGCAUCUACGAGUUUUUGUGAUAUCAAUGUGCGCAAGAUCAUUUCGUUUGAUGUAGCAGCCGAGACAUGGGGUAGCUUGGAGCUUCCCAUUUGUGGAGAAGACAAUUCAAAUUUCAAAUUGGGAGCUGUUGGAAGUGACCUUUCUCUGAUUUACACUGCUAAUUUAGUUGCUACUUCUUCAGAUGUCUGGAUUUUGAAGAAUAGCGGCUUACAUGUGUCUUGGACGAAACGGUUCACCAUCGAAUAUCCUCAAAAUGUUGGGAUAUAUAUGGGUUCUCCAACCACUUACCCAUUCUCUACACAUCUUCGCCACUCAACCAAGGGCGACAUUUUACUUUCCCUUCCCGGAGUUAUACUGAUAUUUUGGGGGUUCAACAAGAAAGCUAGAGCACACUGUUGAUGUUGUGGGAUGCGAUCCAGUAGAAUUCUAUGCAGAAAGCAUUGUCAAUCUCUUUUUCUGGUAAGAAUUCUGCUUAGUUUAGCUUGUAUGCUCUUUUUGCACUUUUUUUUCCCGUCAAAUAUAGGACUAUGCAUUGAGUAUGUUUUUUUCUCCUGAUAAUGAGACACAACAUUGAAUUUAUUUGCUUGUAUAGCUCUAGUUCCUGUAAGCAUUUGUCCUUUUUACUUUACUAGUUUCUGGACACGUGCAUUGCACUUUGUCCUCUAUCGUCAAUUAUAAUAAUGUUUGUAUUUUGAAAUAAGUUAAUGUGGUCUACUACACCUUUCACCAAUUUUGUGUGAGUGUCUGUAUAUAGCAUCCUUAAUAAUAGAGGAUGUAUCAAAUAAUAGAGAAAGUAUAAGGUAGUAUUCACAAUUUCAUUGAUAGUUUGGCUUAAAACUAUGUCUCAGUGAUGUACAAAUAAUAUUCGCAACUUAGAGCCUGUUUGAAUUGGUUUAUUUUAGGUGCUUUUAAGCACUUAGGUAGUGUUUGGGUAGGAUUAUGCACUUGUUUUACUCUGCUCGACAAGGAUUAGAUCUCCCAUAGUUUUAGUAAUUUCCUAUCUUGAAGUAUGAAAAGUUCUGUUUUUAUUUUCUUUUUCUGUUCUGGAGGAGUUGUAUUCUUUUCUGUAGACAGUUGGUCUAAUUUGGUAUUAACAGUGUUGAGUUAGAGUUUCAAUAUAGUGUUUCUUACAGUUUCAUCGCUGACAUCCUUUUACAUUGAGAAAUGAUGAUUCACUCGCAUUUAUGUUGUUGAUAUUGCUUAUACUAGGUGACUAUUUUUGUAGUACUACACACUUUUUUUUACGAAAAUUUUAAGAGAUGCAACCUUAACUUGUUUUGGACUAUUGAAUUUCAGGAAGUGGAAACUGAUUCCGUACUUGCUGCUGAGUGCAUGGAUCAAAAUGAUGAAGCCUUGUCAUGAUCUGUUCUCUUCCUCCAUCUUGUCUGCUGCAUUUAGUAUCAGAAUUGUAGUUGUAUCUUGUAUAAUGAGGAUUUACAUAACUUGAUUCCGCCUUGUACACCGAGAAUGUUAGAGGAAACCUUGUGGAUGGUUCCCCUGCUUUUCAGGGUGAAAGAUUAUUAUUAGUCGUUCUAGUAAACUUAGCAAUUAUGAAAAUGCUCCACAUCUAAUUAUUGAUCUACAACUGCUUCUACUACUGUUGAUAUUCAUGAAAGCUGGCUGUUUUCAUGAAGGGAAAACCAACUAUGGAAGAGUUAAGAAAGCUAUUUAUUAGCCAAUUUCAGCUAUUGGGAUCGGUUAAAAUAGCUUAAUUGAUUAUAAAACUCUAUCUGUACAUUGAUUUCUCUGAUGAAUAACAUAUGGUAAUAUCAUUAAAAGCUUCAAUAAGACCUCUUUUUUUGGUCGGACAUAAAGGUGCAACCAGCCUCAUUGUCCAUGUCUCGCUGCUUUCUUAUUCAACUCUAUAGCUAAUAUUGGAUUAUGUCCAGUAAUCUUUGGAUUGUAUUGAGAAUACUCUAUAGCUCUCAAUUUCAGAAUCAUCACUAUUAUACUCCAUAACUAACAUUAUCGAUAGUCUAGGAGUGAUAUAGUAAAUGAUUUGUUAGGAGUCGACAAAUAAAUAUGCACAGAGAGAGUAGUAAUUUAAUGGUAAAAUAGAGAUGAAGAUCCAAUUGAACUAAUAAAAAAUAUAUAAUUGAAAGUAAUUAACUACCACCCCUUUUAACACCUAUUUAGGGGCGGAAUCCUAUAUAAAGCAAACUAAAUGACCUGACUAAAAAAAGAGAAAAAAAAGUUGCAUUAUCCUAUUCUCUUGCUUGAUGAUGACUACAAUAGUUCCUCACUUUGCCUAGGAAAAAUGGUACCCUCUUGGAGUGUGUGAACUCUCUGUAAAAGCAAUCAUCUGAAAUUGUUGAAAGUACUUGACAACAUCGUGUGGAUAAUGAAAUUCUGCGCUUGAAAAUGGAAGUGAUCAAAUUGAAUGCACAACCGUUCACCUUGAUGCAAGAAGUGGUUGGAGCCAUGGCCGGGCCCCAAGAGGGAGCCAUGUGCGAUGGAGAAACGACAUCAUCAACAGGGGAUGGGGAUGGAGAUGGAGAAACGACAUCAUCAACUGGGGAUGGGGAUGGAGCUGCAUGAGUUGGUGAAGCCGAAUUAUCAACCAGAGAUAGAGAUGGAGAUGGAGAUGCAUGAGUUGGUAAAGCCGCAUUAUCAACGGCAUGACUGCAAUAGUUUCUCACUUUGCCUAGGAAAAUUGGUACCCUCUUUGAGUGCGUAUACCCUCUGUAAAAGCAAUCAUCUGAAAUUGUUGAAAGUCCUUGGCAGCAUUGAGUGGAUAGUGAAAUUCUACGCUUGAAAACGGAAGUGAUCAAAUCUAAUGCACAACCAUCCACCUUGAUGCAAGAAGUGGUUGGAGCGGUGUGCGGUGGCGAAACCACAUCAUCAACUGGAGAUUGAGCCAUAUGUGUUGGUGAAGCCACAUUAUAAAUCGGAGAUGGAGAUGGAGUUGGAGUUGGUGGUGAUGGUAAUUUUGGGUGAGUACGCCACCACCAUCGAGGCCACAAUCGAAUUGAAGAAGUACCAAACGAUUCGGUUUGGUUCGUUGCAGUGGCAGUAGCAAUGCCUAUGCAACCCAACAACAGAAACACACAUAAUAAUGUGCCACUUCUCGAUGACGACGACAUGUUUCAAAAGAAAGAAUGAAUAAUUAGCUGAGAUUAGAGGAAAAGAAUUUCAAGCGGUACUUCCAAAUCCUUUAAAGUUGUAUGAAUAAUUAAUAUGAGUUGAUAUAAAUAGGCAAAUAAUUUAGGCGAUACUUCCCAAUCCCUUUAUACUUAGAAUAUCAACUUCUAUCCAAAUUAGGAUUUCUAUAUAUGUUGUCGCGUCCACUUUUAAUAAAUUUAUAAUUCAAAUUAGGAUUUCUAUUAAUAAUAAAUUUAUAAUUCAAAACUGUGUUGCAAUCAAACUACAACUCCUUGUACUCAAUCAACACAAACGCCAAAAACAUACACUUAGGGCACAAACAGAGAUCCUUCUGCUAUGGCAAGUGAUUCCAUAAUCCCUCUUCUUCUUCUUCCUGAUGAACUCAUAACAGAGAUCCUCUUAAAGCUUCCUGUCAAAUCUCUGUCGAAAUUCAUGUGCGUUUCUAAAUCAUGGCUUCAACUAAUCUCUAGCCCUACUUUUGUGAAGAACCAUAUCAAGUUAACUGCUGAUGACAAAGGAUGCAUCCAUCACAGACUUAUAUUUCGAAACAUCGAUGGAAAUUUCAAGUUUUGUUCUCUCCCUCCCUUGUUUACCAAACAACAACACACUGAGGAGCUAUUCCACAUCGAAAGAUCCACUUUAUCAACUCACAUUGUGGGCUCUUUAAAUAGGUUGAUUUGUGUUGUCCAUGGCCAAAAAGAGGCAUAUAUAUGGAACCCCACUAUUACCAAGUCAAAGGAAUUACCCAAGUUUACGAGUAAUAUGUGCUCUGGUUCUAUCUAAUAUGGUUUCGGAUAUGAUGAGUCACGUGAUGAUUAUAAAGUUGUAUUUAUCCAUUAUCCUUAUAAUCAUUCUAGUAGUUCCAAUAUGACGACUGUGGUCAACAUAUAUACUUUGAGGACUGAUUCUUGGACAACACUCCAUGAUCAGCUUCAGGGCAUCUUUCUAGUAAGUCAUUAAGGUAGAUUUGUCAAUGGGAAGCUUUAUUGGACUUCAUCAACUUGUAUUAAUAAGUACAAGGUGUGCAACAUCACUUCUUUUGAUUUAGCAGACGGGACAUGGGGAAGCUUGGAGCUUCCCAUUUGUGGAAAAGACAAUUUUGAUAUCAAUUUGGGUGUUGUGGGAAGUGAUCUUUCUCUGCUUUAUACUUGUCAACGAGGUGCUGCUACCUCUGAUGUAUGGAUUAUGAAGCAUUCUGGAGUUAAUGUAUCUUGGACAAAAUUGUUCACCAUCAAAUAUCCUCAAAAUAUUAAGACACAUAGGUGUUUUGCACCUGUUUUCACAUUCUCUAUACAUUUUCGCCACGGUGAAAUUUUGCUUCUUCUUCGCUCAGCCAUCAUGAUAUAUGAUGGUUCAACAAGACAACUAAAGCACACUUUUCAUGUCAAUCAAUGUGAAGAAAUCUAUGUAGAAAGCCUUGUUAAUCCCCUAACGAUAUCUGACCAGGGACGUCAUAACCAGGAAUCUCCACAAUCAUAACAUAGCUGAUAAUUUGUAAGGAUUGUGCUUAGUUUAGCUUGUUAUGCUCUUUUUGCACCUUUUUUUGCUGCCAAAUAUAGGACAAGACAUUGAAUAUAUUUUUUUCCUGAUAUCAGAACUUAAUUACCGUCUCAUAAAAGACUUCCUUUUCCUAAAUAAGGGUAGGACCGGUGAGAGGCUUCAAUCAUAUUUUCUUGAUUAUAAGUAGAUGGAAAAGAAAAGAACAAUCAAAUUGUUGAGUAAUACAUGCAAUAAUCAGUAUGUCUGAAGUUUCAACAUAGUGCUGGUUAGACGUCAAUUAAGGAGUUUAGCUAAUGAGAGAUGUUUGAUUAAAACAACCUUUUACAUCGAGAAAUGAUGAUUCGCUCACGUCUAUGUUGUUGCUUUUGUUUAAACUAGAUGGCUGUUUUGUUACUAUAUAAACAGAGUCAUUCUGAAAAUUUUGUCAAGCACAACCUUAACUAUUUGGUUUGUACUAUUGAAUUUCAGGAAAUGGAAGCUAAUGUUGAACACUAAUCAAUAGUUGCUGCUGAGUUCAUGGAUCGAAAUGAUGAAGCCUUGUCAUGAUCUGUUUUCUUUCGUAUUAGACUUGUAGUUCUAUCUCGUUAUCAGAUUUACAAUCAUUUGCUAUAAACUAGAAUCCUGAUAACAAUUGUGUUAAAAACUUGGUUUGGUAUAAACCUUUUUUUCGUCUAAUUAGAUAGUUGAAUGUCUCUAGAAUGUGAAGAGAACCCGAUAUUGUUGAGUAUUGAAAUGAAACAGGUCCAAAUGAAGGAAAUGGAUAUAUAGAGGAUUCACAUAAACUUGAUUCCAACUAGUACACAAAGAAUGUUAAAGGAAACCUUGUGGAUUGUUCCCCUGCUUUUCAGGGUGAAAGAGUAUUAUUGUAUUACAGAAAAUAUAAUCAGAUUCAUUUGUAUGUUCAGGAACUGGGAACAAGCUAAUGAAGAUGAGGACGAAAUUUUAUAUCCAUUUUCUCCGUACCUUGUUACUAGUCGAAUAAGGAUGAAAUUUUACUUUUACUUCCCCCCCUUAUCAUGACAUAUAACGGUUCAACCAGACAAGUAGAGGUUGCUGAUCAAUUUGAGGAAUGUGCUGCUGCAGAAAUCUAUGUUGAAAGCCUUGUUGAUCCCCUAUUCAUAUCAUGAAACCUCAACAAUCAUUUAGCCGAUAACUUGUAAGAGUUCUUUAUUUAGUUUCUUCCGUCAGCUAGGUCAGAUUAGAGCAAGAAUUUUUGAGAUUAUAUUCCCCAUAUUUGGGGACAGGGAGCAGAAUCCUCAAGCGAGAAACAUUCAAUAUCUCAGAUUAGAUGAAAAACCAUUGUAUCAAACACUGGAUCUAACGUAAGUACAUCAAUAAUUAGCAUUUUGACUCUAAUAGCAGACACCACAGUUGGAUCAGUAAUUCUGCGUAAACUCAAUCUGGCCGAGUUAAUCGUCUAAUUCUACUUUACCAGAAUGAUGCAGGAAGAUGACUUGCUAUACUAAUAUAUUGGAUUAUGCCGAAAAGGUACUAUAACAAGUAACUGAUAAAAAUUCUCUACUUAAGGUGAAAUAAAAAAGGAUUAUGAAUCUAGACUGAUUUGAGGAGACAAUUCAAAGUAAAUUAUUUCUAGGAUAGAUAGUGUAAGAUUCGAUACAGAGGCAAGAACUGAUGUAAUGCUUGUCCGCCAUCUUUAUAAAGAUCGAUUCAUUGGUAUAGUCUAAGCUGCCAGUCUGCCACAGAUGAAUGCUUGUCCUAAUAAUCAAAUACAACAUUGCAGCCAGAAUAAAUAAAUUUGAUGCUCAGAACCUGUUGGAAUGUAUGCGCCCACCAGUGAUCUCGGGACCAGGUCCCUCGACAGAAUAACAACGCAGAAGUAAAAGUGCGGAAAAUAAAUAGCACAAAGUAAAUCAGGCACAAGAGUUUUACGUGGAAACCUCUUUGCUCAAGGGAGUAAAACCACGACCUGUCUCACAGGACUUUUCAAACUGCUUUUACUAAUCUUCUCAAAGCAAAAGUAAAAACAAGUUUACAACCACACAUAGAGAUUAACCUCCUAAUCUCUAAACUAAGUAAUACAACCUAUUACUUAAUGAGCCUAAGCAGAUACAACACUGCCCACUAUACUAACCCUCAUUGAUUAAUAUAGAAUUUUCUAAACGGAUACCACACCGCCCACUAAACCACCUAACUCUAGAUGAUUUAGAAUUUGACUAAGCAACACAUAGGUUGCCCACUAAACCACCACCCUCUGGACGAUUUAGAAAACCACCUAACUCUAGAUGAUUUAGAAUUUGACUAAGCAACACAUAGGUUGCCCACUAAACCACCACCCUCUAGACGAUUUAGACUUUUAGAAAUCGAAACAAGAUCCGAAUCCUUUAUAGAUUAGGAACAGAUUUACAAUGUAAGCACGGAAGUAUAACUCCUAAGACACACUAUGACGCUUGCAACUCGAUUAGGUCCUUGUUGCACUUGUUGGAGAGUACUUCACCAAGAUGGUCUUUGCUUGUAUACUUGAGAAUUUUCAAGAUGCAAAGACUGACAAAACUCAAACUCAACAAAGACGCUUCAACACUCUAUCAGGUCCCUUUGUUGAGCAUGAGUAUUGUCACGUCUACUUCCCAAUCCCUUUAUACUUCAAAUAUCUACUUCUAUCCAAAUUAGGAUUUCUAUAUAUGUCACGUCCAUUCGUCCAAUUUUAAUAAAAAAUUAUAGUUCAAGACUGUGUUGCAAUCAAACUAUGACUCCUUCACCUCAAUCAAGACAACCGCCAUAAACAAUUUUUUUUUUAAAAUAACAACAAUGAAUAUAUUUAGACAAUUACCCUUCAAAAAUUAAGUGACCUUGAAGCCCUAUAUUUGAAAAUUGGUUUACCAAAUGAAGAUGACUGCGAAUUACAAUAAACUAAGGAACUGAACAUUGAGAGGAAGAAAAAAUAUACUAUAAAAAAUCACAUUUCACCUAGCAUUUGUCUUGAAGUACAAAGACUUCUAUAUCAUUAUAAUAAUUAUUUAUGAUAUAAAAUCCAGAAAACAAUUAGAAAAAAUGUGAAAGAUGUUAUCACAGACCAUUUCCCUCCAAAAACAUUGAUCUCUUCGCCAUGUAGCUUGGGGAUCUCAGCCAUGUCUAAUAGGAUAUCAUAAAGAUAAGAUCCAUCAGCCGUUUCCCUUUCGCUAUAAGUUUCUAUUUUUGUUUCUUGACCUUACAACACCAUAAAUCUAGCAAACCUUACCCCUACCCUACCUCGACUAACAAAAAAUACACACAAAAGCUGCACCAUAAGACUUAUGGCUGAAUCGACAAUCUCUGUUCUUCCUCAUGAAAUCAUCAUAGAGAUCCUCUUAAAGGUUCCCCCAAAGUCUCUGUUGAAGUUCAUGUGUGUUUCAAAAUCAUGGCUUGAACUAAUCUCCAGCACAAAGUUUAUAAAAAACCAUUUGAAAUUAACAGCUAACGACAAAGAAUACAGUCACCACGGGAUUAUUUUUCAAGAAUUCGCAUGCAAUUUUAAGGUAUGUUGUCUCCCUUCCAUGCUUAACAAAGAACGAAACACCGACCUAUUUGACAUUGGUUCUCCCAUGGAUUGUCGGUUCUGUCAAUGGAUUGAUUUGUCUGUAUAGUAAGAUAGAGGAGACAGUUCUAUGGAACCCCGCUAUAAAGAAGUCUAAGAAAUUGCCUACACUUGGAGCUAAAUUGAGGAACGGUUGCUCUUACCAUCUCAAACACGUGAUGAUUACAAAGUGGUAGUUAUUCAAUGUAUUGUGUGAUACUGUAGUCAACAUAUACAGUUUGAAGGCUAAUUCUUGGAGAACAAUUAAUAAGUUUCAGGGAAUUUUUCUAGUAAAUUCUCCGGGUAAAUUUGUCGAUGGAAAGCUUUAUUGGGCUUUAUCAGCUGAUGUUGAUACGUUCAAUAUGUGCAACAUCAUUUCUCUUGAUUUAGCAGACAAGACGUGGAGAAGGUUGGAGAUUCCGAAUAGUUAUGGAAAAGGUAGUUAUCCGUUGGCAUUAGGAGUGGUGGGAAGUCAUCUUUCUGUGCUUUGUCUUAAUUGUCUUGAAGGAACUAAUUCCGAUGUGUGGAUUAGGAAGGAUUGUGGAGUUGAAGUAUCAUGGACAAAAGAUUUUCACUGUCGAUCAUCCUAAAAGACCUUGGGGAGUUUAUAUUCUUUACAUCCAUUUUCUCUAUACCUUGUUAUCAGUCGAAUAUGGAUGAGAUUUUACUUUUACUUCCCCCGUUAUCAUGACAUAUAACGGUUCAACCAGACAAGUAGAGGUUGCUGAUCAAUUUGAGGAAUGUGCUGCUGUAGAAAUCUAUGUAGAAAGCCUUGUUGAUCCCCUAUUGAUAUCAUGAAACCUCACAAUCAUAAUCAUUUGACAAUUAUGUUGAAAACUUGCAAACUCACGUUUGGAGAGACUAGAUAUUUUAUAAAUACAAGCAUUGUGUUUAUGUUGGUAUUGCUAGUGUAUGAAUCAUCAAUUUCUUCAUUUAGACCUGUUUGACUCAAUGUACAAUUAUUCUCUUCACGAUCUAGCGAUAAUGCGAUACUUAAAAUUUAAUUAACAGGUCUAAAACUACCUCCUCUGUUCUGCUCUACUACCAAUUUUUGUGAUUGUUACCUCAUAUGACAAACAUGUUUUUGUUUGUUUCUUUUUAUAGAUUGGAUUGAGAUUGUUCUACUCAAAUUCCUCUCAUGGUAUGAUUUCUUCUUCAUUCCAACUUCUACAACUACUGAUUCCAUAAUCCCAAAUGAAAUCAUAACAGAUAUCCUCUUAAGGCUUCCCCCCUAAGUCUCUCUUGAAAUGUAUGUCCGUUUCAAAAUCAUGGCAUCAACUUAUAUCUAGCCCUGAUUUUGUGAAUACACAUCUCAUAUCAAACACACAUCAUAGAGUUCUAUUCCCAGGCAUCAAUGGGAAUUUCAACUUUAGUUCUCUCCUCCCACAACAAGUCACUGUUCACAUAUAUCCUCUCACUUUAUCAGCUUUCGUUGUGGGCUUUGCCAGUGGGAUAAUUUGUCUUUGAGAUCACCAAGGGGAUAUAUAAAUAUAUAUGGUUUUGGAAAUGAUGACUCACGUGAUGAUUACAAAGCUCUGUUUAAUGAUUAUUGUGCUGAUGAGUUCGACCUUUUUUUCUGACUUGAGUAAUGAGAUCAACAUUUAUAGUUUGAGGACGGAUUCUUGGAAAACACUCCAUGACCAGCUUUAUGGCAUCUUUCUAAUAAAUUUUCAGGGUAAACAUGUCAAUGAGAAGCUUCAUUGGAUUGCAUCAACUAGUUAUUAGUAAUUUCAAUGUGCGCAAGAUCAUUUCUUUUGAUGUAGCAGACGAGGGAUGGGGUAGCUUGAAGCUCCCAUUUGUGGAGAAGUCAGUUCUAAUUUAAAAAUGGGAGAGGUGGGAAGUGAUCUUUCUCUGAUUUAUACUUUUCGUCUAGGUGAUACUACUUUUGAUGUCUGGAUUUUGAAAAAGAUUGUGGAUUUUGGACAAUCCUCAAAAUCCAAACAUUAGAAGUAGUAUCACCUAGACUACAAGUAUUAAACAUAGAAAGGUCACUUUCGACAACUCCAAUUUUGAAAUUAAAAUCGACUUCUCCACAAAAUGGGAAGCUCCAAGCUUCCCCACGUCUCAUUUUCUACAUCAAAAGAAAUGAUGUUGCGCACAUUUUGAUUAUGAAGACUAGUAGAUGCAAUCCAAUAAAUCUUCUCGUCGACAAAUUUGCCAUAAAGAUUUACUAGAUAGAUGCCCUGAAGUUGGUCAUGUAUUGUUGUCAACAAAUCGGUCCUCAAACUCUAAAUGUUGACCACAGUCUUCAUGUUGGAUUCAUCGUCAUGGUAAGAAUUACCACAAUAAUCGAUAGAUAGAGCUUUAUAAUUGUCAUAUGAGUUGUCGUAUCCAAAACCAUAUUUGGUAUAGAAAGAAGUACCCUAAGUGGAUUUAUGUGAUUCGUUUGACUUCCUAAUGAUGGGUUCCAUAUAUAUGUCUCCCCUGAGUGAUUGCACAUGCAAAUCAAGUCAUUGGCAGAACCCACAACGAAAGUUGAUAAUGUUGGAGGAUCCAUGUGAAUAGUAACAUGUUGUUUGUUAAACAGAGGAGGGAAUAAACAAAACUUGAAAUUUCCAUUGGUGCCUGAAAAUAGAACUCUGUGAUGUGUGUUUAAUUUGAGAUGUGUGUUCACAAAAUGAGGGAUAGAGAUUAGUUGAUGUCAUGAUUUUGAAACUAGUGUACAUUUCAAGAGCGACUUGGUGGGCAGCCUUAAGAGAGUAUCUGUAGGAUUUCAUUUGUGAUUAUGGAAUCAAUUGUUGUAGAAAUUGGAGUGAAGAAGAAAUCAUGCCCCGAGAAGAAUUUGAAUAGAAUGGCCUAAAUCCAAUUUCGAAAAGCAACAAAUAAAAUAUCGCGAGUAUUUUUUGUCAAGUGAGGAAGUAGCAGAGCAUGCAGCGAAUUGCCAAAGUAGGAGGCAAUGAAGUAGGGUCAAAAUACAAGGGCAUAAUGAAGAGGAAUGCAACGUCAUCCAUCUAGAGUUAUACCCAAAAAAAAUAGACAGAAAAGGAGGGAAAUGAGAAGGAGAGAAAGGGAGGAAAUAAGGAGAGGGAGCAGAAGAACAAGAAGGGAGGGAGUUGGAGAGUACAAGGUAGAGGGAGAAUGGAGCAAAUAUGGAACUGGAAAAAAAAAAUCAACAGGAUAAGGUAGGGUUAGCACUGAAAAUAAGUUUGGGGCUUUGAAGGAUCAGGAAGAUACAGGGUAAUCGCAGGGAGAGAAACAAAAAAGGGAGGGGAAGUCAAUACAAAAAAAUGGGUAGAGGAAAUGUUUAAGGGAAAAAACAACUUCACAAGGGGGAGUAGGUCAAAGAAUAAGGAGGGGGAAAAAGUAAGAAGAGAGAGAACAUUGCUAGUCCGAGUGAAUUGAAUUCUAUAGAAAAGGACAAGGUAAUGGAGGGGGAAAAUAGCAUUAAGGGGAAAAGGAAUCAGGUUCCAAACAUGGGGACAUAUGGUUAUCGAGUUCCAAACGGUUAUCAGAUCAAUAACAUUCGUGAUUUAGAGGAGAUCACAUACAAAGAGAAACAAAGGAGGAGAGAGAGGGAGGAGGAUGAAUAAAUUAAAGGAAAUGUAGACAAAGCGGCAAGAUAUAGAGGAUUAUUGCCAAGGUAGAUCAGGCUUUAGAAGAGUGGAGCCAAGAGAGGUAACUCAAGUCAACCGUUACUUCCUUUGCAAGUGAAGACAAGAUUAGACAGCGGCAUAAUUUUCAACAACUAUCAAUAGAGUGCAAAAGAAUUUUCAACGCAGAUAAGUCAAACAUUCCAAUACUAAGUAUCAAGGCAAGAAAGAUCAAAUUUCAAAAUCUAUAAACAUGAGCAUGCAUUACUUCAGAAUCAUUUUCAACAACAGACUUCCCAACUAUGAUAUUUACAAAAAGUGAUUCUCCAUUUUAGGGCUUACAUAGUUGUAACCAUUAAGAUACCUUGUUUAGACUACGACAACUUAUACAAAAUUUCUCUAGCAUUAAGUGAUGGUCUUGGGGUCAAAUGGGGAGUUAGAGAUUUAGGGUUGGGUAGGAACUUCACAAUGAAGGAGGUCAGGAGCAUUUGAAUAUCUCCAUUUAUGCUUCAGCUAGAUAAAGGAAAUCAGAGAGGAAGAAACAGGGAAAAGAGGUACAGAAAAAAGAAGGCCACUUACAGAGAGUUACGAGCUCAACCACAAGACAAGGCGCCUCCAUCGAAACCACUUCUUGGAUCCAUUGUUCCACUGGAUUAUACCUCUACAGGAGAAACGGUGGAAGUUAGAAAAGAAAUCGAGAAGGGAAAGAGCAAGCUAAGAAAAUCUUACCUUUGCGAGCUGAGAAACAGGGCUAACAUGGCAAACAAGAGCAAUGUGUUGAUGAUCUACGACAAAAGGAAGAGGAAGGUUGAAUUUCAUAUAGCUCGUGGCGGCGAUACGGAGAGAAAGAAAAAGAGCUCAAAUUUGAAAACGCUAUCUUCUAGGGUUUUGAUAUUGAAGCUGGUAGUUCCAUUUAAUGGACUGGGCCAAAAAAAUUCUCGUUGUUUUGGGCUGAUCCAAUUUUUUGAUUGGCCUUGUUUUGUACAGAUUUAUUUGAAAAAUGAAUAAAAGAAGAUACAAAGUCCAAUAAUUAAUUAAAAAAUAAAAUAAAUCUUUAAUAAUAUACACCUUUCAAAAGCAUUUGUUUGAAUUAAUAAUUGAUCAAAAAUGUAAAAGGAUGAAUUUUCAUCGAAGAGAUCCGAAUUUUGAAAUAAGUUGAUGUGGUCUACUACACCUUUCACCAAUUUUGUAUGAGUGUGUGUAUAUAGCAAAACCACCAAAUUUAUGCUUUUUUAAGAGUUAAUGACAUACUAAACACGGAAUAAAGCAUUUCACAAACGACGAAUACAUUGGUAUGGCUUCUUUAAAGAAGAGGGAAACAUACUUACCCAAAAAAGUAUUUUCCGACUUCAAACAUAUGAGGAUGAGAACAACAUAAUGUCCAUCAACAUAUACCCGCCCAUUGUUCUAGCCUCCGUAAGCUAGUUCAGAGAAUUCGUAGUCUUUUCUCUUCCUUUCUUCCCAAUUUUGUACCCCUUGGUUUCCUAUUGCAUUCAUGUUAGUUUUUGGUUAUAGAUGAUCAUGAUCUUGUAUUGAGUAUUUAAUUGAUACAACUUCUCAAUAUCUUCAGAUUUUUUAUGGCUAAGAAGAUAAUGUUGGUUAAUGAGAAAAUAACGGUGGACACAUUUUUGGUGAAUUGAGUGUAAAACAUUAAAGUACUAUGGUUGAGCUUCUAAUUCACCCUUUAUGUAAUUAAAAUAUUACUACUUAAUUAGCUUUUGAUUUGUUGUCGGGCAAAAUGGUAAACUAACUAUUAGAAUAUUGACCCCCGGUUUGCCUAAGGAACAAGAUAUUCUAUAUGUUCCUUUGUCGAGUACUAACACUGUGUUAAGUAAAACAAGUAAACUAAUGACACAAUUAUUUAUCGUGGAAAACUCCGGCUCAUAAAGAGUAAAAAAUCACGGCCUACACCUCUAUAGGAUUUAACUCAACUUCACUAAACUCUGAGUCUCAACCAAACAUUACAAACCUAUGUAAUCUAAGGAAUUAUCAACACCAGUUCCUAAAUGUCAACAAUCAACGAGAUUGUCGAACCUACUUCAAGUUAUGAAUUCAAAUUAUAAUUCUUGCAAUCCUAUGAACUAACUCUAAUUCCUAAACUCCAACACAAACCUCUUAAGGUUUAUGUUCCCAGGUCUUCCCAACUUGCAGACUAUGUUCCUACUUCAAUUUACACCUCACUGGAUUUAGAAAUCAUUAAAGAUACAACUCGAUAAAACGCAAUACAAGCAAAGUUGACUUAAGAACUAUAAAGUAUAAGCCUAUGGAACAGAUUCUUCAAUCUUUUUUUCUUGUGUUGGCUGAACUUGGAUCUUAGGGUCAGAACGCUCUCAUAAAUUAACUCCCUCUAUUUGAUUGUGUUCUACUUGUAAAUCUUUGUAUACUUGCGCUAGUCAAUUAGAAACCCUUGUUUUAUAUUUAUAGAUGUGAAACUUCUCCUUCUUCAAGAAGAUGUCCUUCCUUCUAAGGAUUCCUACUUUAUAGAUAGGAGCUUCCUACUUUUAGCAUAGCAUGAUCAUAGUUCAUGAAGAAAAAAGUUAUUAUUGGAAGAGAGACCGUCAAUUCAAAGGGGAUAAAGCAAAGGGACCCUGUUUUUUUUUCUCCUUUUUCUAAUUGGAAUAUAAUAGAGACUGUCAAUAGACUCGUAGAAGAUAGUGAAACGAAAAGUGGAGUUGAGAUUGGCCUUGGAAGAAUAGGAAAUAUGGUCACAUCCUAUCUAUUAUUCACUAAUGGUACUAACAUAGGUCAAAUUAAUGAAAUGUUAUGGAAAUUUAUGGGGUGAGAACUGAGGUGAAUGUAUCCAUAAUAAAAAAAAAUGACAUUUGUUAUGGCUUGAAAUAUGUAUCUUUGUAUAUAUUGUUUUGUGUUGUUUCUGUUCAAAGUAGAAUAUUAGUCUGAGAUGAAUGCAUCCACAUGAAUAAAAAUGGAGAGAAAUAAAACGAGUGUUUAAAGUUAGAUUACAAUUUUUCUCUUAUAUUUAAUUAAAAUAAAAUACCUAAUCUAAUUGAAAUAGUAGUAAUAAUUGUAUUUGAAUUUACAUGAGAUUUGUGAAUCUGCGGAUAUUCAAAAGUCCAAUUUAAAUGUAGCCCUUAAUGAUUUACCCGUUAAUCAUAUUUAAGUGUGCGCUAUUCAUUGCUAAAUAGUUUGGAGAAUAGGAAGAGUUGCAUUGAAUAAUUAAAUGUAGACUAAUGAAAGAAAAGGUUCAAGGAAUGAAAAUUGAAAUAUAGCUAUAAAAAAACAAGAAAGGAUUCUUGAAUUCUUACUCAUCAUUUUUAUAGGCUCUUGCAUAAUUUUAAUUUAUUAAUUAAUUUCAUCUUCUUUUUUGUUCUUGAAGAGAAAGCAACAAUAUUCUUACUCACCAUUUUUAUAGGCUCUUAUAUAGUUUUAAUUUAUUAAUUAAUGUCAUCUUCUUUUUUGUUCUUGAAGAAAAAGCAACAAUUUGAGAGGAUGGGAAGUGCUUAGAGCUAUUGGCGUCUAGAGUUCGAUUAGCCAAUAACAUCAACUUCACAAAACAAAGUUCAACACAAAUUUAUCGUAAUGCACAAUUUUUAUGUAUCAUUGUAAUGAAAGUUUAGACACAUAUAUUAUUGUUUCGAUAUGUAAUAUUUUAAUUUUAGCAUUCAAAUAUUCUUGUUAUACUUUUAGCAGUUGUUUCUACUUUAUAUGUAAAGAGAGAAUUGAUGUGUGUUUUCAUUUCUUUAUUUUAGUAAGAUUAAGCUUUGCAUUUUUUAAAACCAAUACAUUUAACUAUAAUAAACUCCCUCCAUCUCAAUGAAAAAGUUUGAACAAAUUAACUUGAAAUACACGUGCAAAGCACGUGUCCAUAUACUAGUAUCUUUAAAAGCUUCAAUAAGACCUUUUUUUUUUCUUGGUCGGACAUAGCCUCAUCAUCAAGAAUAUCCAAAUCGUCAGCCAAAUAAAUCAAGAACCAAGUCCAUGUCUCGCUGCUUUCUUACUUGACGCUAGAGCUAAUAUUUGGAUUGAAUUAAGGAUACUUAUAGCUCUCAAUAUCACAACACUCAAAAUCUGCCUCUACAACUGCCAUAUUUCUCUUUACUUCAACACUAAGAAGCUCUGUUUCACCCAUAAAUACUCUGUUUUCCCUUACCAUUACUCGUCAUCACAUAAAUUAGCCUCCUAGUAACUAAAAUCAAAUACAAAUAUUGUUGCCAGAAUAAAUAAAUUUAAUGCUCAGAACCCUACAAAACUAUUCAGAAAGUAAUGCAUCAAAUCAGAAGUUUUAGAAAUUCGAUUUUCAGUUAUAUUUUGUAAAAAAAAAAAAACAGUCGAGCUGAUAAAAGUCUUUAUCUAGGUAGUGUAAAAAUGUCAUAGUAAGUCUUCCUAUUAAUUAAUUUGUUGGGAUGUUGGGGCGAAUAGAAAGAAAUAGUUGCAGAAAUUCAUAUAACUACUCAACUUUAUUCGGACCAAGGUAUAGUUGAUUGAUAUGCAUACCAUAUUGCGAAUAAGUAAAAGGUUGUGUUCCAUAAUUAACAUUAUCAACAGUCUAGGAGUAAUAGUAAAGGAGUGUGCCAAGUCAAACAUGGACAAAUAAAGGUAAACUGUAAAAUUAAUAGAGAUGAAAAUCCAAUUAAACUAAUUAAAGAAUUUAAUCGAAAGUAUUUAACUAGCACCUAAAAACCUAUUAAGAUGACCAAAAAAAAAAAGAGAAGGAAAAAAUCUGCUUCAGGCUUGAUGCUGACUGCAAUAGUUCCUCACUUUGCGUAGGAAAAAUGGUACCCUCGUGGAGUGCGUGAACUCUUUGUAAAAGCAAUCAUCUGAAAUUGCAGAAAGUACUUGGCAGAAUUGUGUGGAUAAUGUAACUUUACGCUUGAAAACGGAGGUGAUCAAAUUGAAUGCACAACCGUUCACCUUGAUGCAAGAAGUGGUUGGAGCCGGGGCUGGGCCCCAAGAGGGAGCUAUAUGUGAUGGAGAAACGACAUCAUCAACGGGGGAUGGGG